This 355-nucleotide ribosomal RNA is filed under the name Chaetoceros curvisetus. Its description in RNAcentral is "partial Bacterial large subunit ribosomal RNA". It matches the Rfam family "Bacterial large subunit ribosomal RNA", at positions 178 to 580 of the family's 2925-position model. The record is from RNAcentral. Lineage: Eukaryota; Bacillariophyta; Thalassiosirophyceae; Chaetocerotales; Chaetocerotaceae.
GGCUAACGCAGGGAACUGAAACAUCUAAGUACCUGCAGGAAAAGAAAUCAACCGAGAUUCCCUUAGUAGUGGCGAGCGAACGGGGACUAGCCCUUAAGCUUCUUUGAUUUUAGCGGAACGCUCUGGAAAGUGCGGCCAUAGUGGGUGAUAGCCCUGUACGCGAAAAUCUCUUAUCAAUGAAAUCGAGUAGGACGGAGCACGAGAAACUUUGUCUGAAUAUGGGGGGACCAUCCUCCAAGGCUAAAUACUACUGACUGACCGAUAGUGAACUAGUACCGUGAGGGAAAGGCGAAAAGAACCCCGGCGAGGGGAGUGAAACAGAACCUGAAACCGUGUACGUACAAGCAGUGGGAGC